Molecule: small nuclear RNA, 107 nt
Organism: Rhinopithecus bieti (black snub-nosed monkey)
Lineage: Eukaryota; Metazoa; Chordata; Mammalia; Primates; Cercopithecidae
Source: Ensembl
GUGCUCACUUCGACAGCAAAUAUACUAAAAUUGGAAUGAUACAGAGAAGAUGAGCAUGGUCCCUGCACAAGGAUGACAUGCAAAUUUGUAAAGCGUUCUAUAUUUUU